GUACGGGGCGGGCAGAGGGACAGUGAGGAUAGGUGGCGGUAGUGGUAGUGGUGGUGGUGGUGGCGCUGGGGUAGGAAGGGCGGCUCGAGUGUUUUGGUCGUCAUUGAUCAGUUUUGCCACACACACUUUAGAGACCAGUGUUUCCAUAUUCCCGGCAGCUUCUUCCUACAUCAAACAACACCUAGCAGCAUCAGAGAGACACGACUGCAUAAGGAGCCUGUACUGGAGAAUAAUGCAUAUGGCGUGCGCUGCCUAUCUGCCUUGCAUCCCUUCCCUGCGUCCCUCAGUCAUCAUCCCUGCAGCCGUGAGACGCGUGCAGACAGCAGCUCACCGAGGCCCUAAUGACUACAGGUCCCCUUGCCGCUAGCUGCUUCCAUCUACCUCGUUCUGUACGCUGCAUACGGCUCACUGUGUCUCCGUGUGUCCGUGGCUCCCCAAUGCUGCACUGACUGCCGGGGAAUUUAUGAGGAGUGAUUAAGGUUUGUGAUGAGAUGAGGGGAGGUGUGGCGCGCCCGAGUGUGCGGAGGGAGGGUAAGGGUUGGGGAAGUGAUUUGUCUGUGGUAAUGAGUGUGUUGCGAUGAGUUGAGGUGUGUUGAAGUGCAUUGUUGGUUGAGAUGUGGUGUGUUUGUGUUGUGGUGAGAUGUGGUGUGUUUGGGUGUGUCUGAGUGUGUUGUAUUGUAUGAGGAUGUUAAAUAAGUGCGUUGUGGUGAUCUUGGGUGUGUUUGAGUGUGCUUUGGUGGUGUGAGGAUGUUUUUUUCAUGUAUUAGUUGCUUUGGUGGUGUGAGGAUGUUUCUUUCAUGUAUUAGUUGCGGUGUUGUGUGGUGCAUCUGAGUGUAUUGUAUUGCGGCGGUGUGCUGUGAUUUGAUUAGUGUAGCGUCAUGAAGUGCGGUGUGGUGUGAAGUUUCCCAGUAACAUGCUUGGCGAGGAUCAGCGUGCGUUAGAGUGAGCUGUUGUUAAUUACUGCUUUGUUAUGAAAAGUGACACGAGACUUGUAAUGCCAAGCGUCCGAUGUGUGGGAGUGCGAUGACAUGGAGAAAAAGUGUGUUAAAUCCUUGUCACACGAUCAUUGGGUAAGUGUGGUGAUUCUAUACAAGAGUGGGGAAUACGUGGAGACAUCAUGCAGACGUGCGGGACUGAGAUCCGUAUUCUGAACACUUGUGGCCGCACCUCCACUAUUCAAAAGGCUCUAGUUUAAGUGACACGGGUUUUUUAAGGAUGGUUUAGCUCUUUUUACGAUUCUAGUGACAAGAUUGGCAAGAUUUCUACAUUAUUAACAGGAGAACACUCUUAAGAACCCAGUUAAUCAUCUCUGUGGCCUUGGAAAAUAGUUGUUGAGAGAGCAGAGCGUUUCUGAAUAUGGACCUCAGUGAAGCACCACCAUCCUUGCUCGAGUAGGUUCGUCAGUGAUGUAAAACUCCAACUGAACCACGCUCCUCAGGGAAACUAGUGUGAGAGGCGUGCUUGACCCCCCACACUCGCCCACUGAUCGAGUGACAAGGCCACUAUGGCUGAUUGCACUUGUGUAUGACUUUUUUGAUGUGCAUUAUAAUGAAGUGUGGCGUGAGAUUUGUGAUGUGGAAUGUCCGAUGUGAAGGUUAGAGGUAAUGUGAAGUACAGUGUCAUGGUUGUGUUGUGAGAUGUGAGGUUUCCAGGCUAUGAGAUUUAAGGUGUUUGUGAGGGAAGCAGCAUUGCAUUCUAAGAUCUGAGCAGCGUUUGAGAUGUAAUCCAUGGCUUAGACUGAUUAAAAAAUAAACAGGUUGGAAAUGAAAUGGCCCCGAUUAUCAUCUAAAUGUAAUCCAGGAAACGAGCGUCACUAAAUAUGCAUCUAAUAGGCAUAGAUUUAUUCCGCAUUAGCAGCAAUGCCAUUGAUAACUGAAUUACCUGAGUUAUAAGCAACGCAUUGCAUAAUUACCUAAGGCAAACCUAAUUUUACUGAGGAUUCAGAAACGGAGAGAGAGAGAGAGAGAGAGAGAGAGAGAGAGAGAGAGGAGAGGAGAGGAGAGGAAAAGAGAGGAGAGGAGAGUGCACAAUGCCUACCUCGGUAACAGGGUCGUCAGGUCACAUAAUUAGAACACCUUGUUUGUGCGAUCGGCGGUGGGCCGUGCGUGACAAGCACAGCCCAGGUAAUACACCCUUGUGAGUGUCUCGAGCAAGUGACGGUGCAGGGUAACAAUGAGGAGGAGGAGAAGAUGGUGGAGGACUAGGAGGAAGAGGAGGAGGAGGAUAGGCCGGCGGGAGGGGCAGCGUGAGUGGAGGAGGAGUAGUGGUGGAGGGUCUCAGUGGUAUGUUUGCGGGUGAAGCGAGCGGACGUGUUAGCUCCAAGCGCGCUCUCUAUUUCUCUCUCUUCUGCUCCCUCUUACUCCGUUCCCAAUAGCGGUCGCCAGUCCAAGAAGAGAGAGAGAGGGAGAGAGCCACGCUGUCCGUUCAGGAAAGAUUAUGUAGAGGCGCCACCAGCAGCCUUCGUCAUUAACACAGCAUCAGGCCUCCUCCCGGGCGGGCGUGGCGUUACCCUCCCUGCUGGUGCCGAGGCGAGAUGUUUGGACUGAGCCGAUGGUUCUUGUCCCUGGAAUCGUGACUGUGCUAGCGUCCUCGCUGUGUCACUCUGUCGUGUUCCAGUCAUUCUGACAGUCAGGGAAAUGUGAUUGGUUGUGAUUGAAACUCCCUUUGGAAAAAAUAGAUAAAUUCCUAGAAAGAAAAGAAGGAAAAUAAAAUAAUACAUUGCACCCUUGAGGAACGAAGAGAUGUGGGCUCCAUAUUUGUACGUGCAACACUACACCUGGUGCAUAUCUUGGUGAAGUGAUUAGUGAUAGUAAGAAAGAGUGUUACCUUUAUGAACUAGUGCGUAAAUCACCUGCUUUAAUCACCCCACUAAUGACUCGCUCACCUUCCUCUCGCUGGUGAACGUAAUGUGGUGAUUCUAUAGUGAAGUAUAAUCAGUAGAACUCUUUGAUAGUGACCGCCUUUCACCAUUCACCGGAACAACCCUCCUCCUGCUGAAGAAUCACAAGAGAGAAGAUAGUGGCUUUAGAAACGUGUAUAAAGAGACCAAAACCCUAUGCACCAUCCCUCUAUAGUUUUACAUAUCGCCUAGAAACACGCUAUAAGUAAUAUAACAGUACCUAGUAAAUAUAGUGAGAGAUACGAAACACCACCACCACCACCACUACCACCACCACCACCACCACUACCACCACCACCACCACCACCACCACCACCUCCUUAACCAAGCAUCACCAGCAGAGAGAACAAAGACACAGUGAGAGAAAGAGAAGCAAAACACCGCCAGCAUCAUCACCAAGAGGAUUACAAGCGGUGAAAUCAAAUAAUCGUUAGCAGUUUACACUCCGCCAUCAUUAGGAAGAUAAGGAAGCAUAGAGGGGGAGGAGGACGCCCCUCUACACCACCGCCACCACCACACAGACACAGGGACGCAAGACCAGCAUCACCACCGGCCAAGAUGGAGGCAGAAACAGGCUCUAUUGGGGAGCUGCAGAAGUACCACAGUCGCCUGCUCCGCUCCAGGCGCCACACCCUCGCGAAUGUCCGGUGAGUGUGUAUGUGUGUGUGUGUGUGUGUGUGUGUGUGUGUGUGUG
Molecule: long non-coding RNA, 3593 nt
Organism: Scylla paramamosain (green mud crab)
Lineage: Eukaryota; Metazoa; Arthropoda; Malacostraca; Decapoda; Portunidae
Exons: 3
Source: RefSeq, a predicted model, not a curated record